This 789-nucleotide ribosomal RNA is filed under the name uncultured bacterium. Its description in RNAcentral is "bacterial SSU rRNA". It matches the Rfam family "Bacterial small subunit ribosomal RNA", at positions 8 to 796 of the family's 1533-position model. The record is from RNAcentral.
AGAGUUUGAUCAUGGCUCAGGAUAAACGCUAGCGGGAGGCCUAACACAUGCAAGUCGAGCGGUAUAUUUUAGCUUGCUAAAAUAGAGAGCGGCGCACGGGUGAGUAACGCGUAUGCAACCUACCCCAGACAGGGGGAUAGCCCGGAGAAAUUCGGAUUAAUACCCCAUAAGAUCAUAAGUUCACAUGGACAAUUGAUAAAAGCUUCGGUGGUUUGGGCUGGGCAUGCGUGACAUUAGCUAGUUGGUAAGGUAACGGCUUACCAAGGCUACGAUGUCUAGGGGUUCUGAGAGGAAGAUCCCCCACACUGGUACUGAGACACGGACCAGACUCCUACGGGAGGCAGCAGUGAGGAAUAUUGGUCAAUGGGCGGAAGCCUGAACCAGCCAUCCCGCGUGAAGGAAGACUGCCCUAUGGGUUGUAAACUUCUUUUUUGCUUCAGGAAUAGUUGCUACGAGUAGCGAUAUGACGGUAGAGCAAGAAUAAGCAUCGGCUAACUCCGUGCCAGCAGCCGCGGUAAUACGGAGGAUGCGAGCGUUAUCCGGAUUUAUUGGGUUUAAAGGGUACGUAGGUGGCCAGUUAAGUCCGUGGUGAAAACCUGCCGCUCAACGGUAGGCGUGCCAAGGAAACUGACAGGCUUGAGUACAGAUGAGGUAAGCGGAAUGUGUAGUAGCGGUGAAAUGCAUAGAUAUUACACAGAACUCCGAUAGCGAAGGCAGCUUACUAAACUGCCACUGACACUGAAGUACGAAAGCGUGGGGAGCGAACAGGAUUAGAUACCCUAGUAGUCC